CGGCGAGUGAAGCGGCAACAGCUCAAAUUUGAAAUCUGGAGCCUUUGGCUUCCGAGUUGUAAUUUGCAGAGGGAGCCUCGGAGGGCGAGACGGUCCAAGUGCCUUGGAACAGGAUACCGCAGAGGGUGAGAGUCCCGUAUCCGGCCGAUCUUGCGCUCCGUGUGAGGCCCCUUCGACGAGUCGAGUUGUUUGGGAAUGCAGCUCCAAGCGGGUGGUAAAUUCCAUCUAAAGCUAAAUACUGGCCAGAGACCGAUAGCGAACAAGUAGAGUGAUCGAAAGAUGAAAAGCACUUUGAAAAGAGAGUCAAACAGUACGUGAAAUUGUUGAAAGGGAAGCGCAUGGGGGCAGACUUGGACGCGGGGUUCAGCGUUUCUAUUGGAGCGUGUACUUCCCCGCGUGCAGGCCAGCAUCGGUUCUGGGGGCCGGACAAAGAGGUUGGGAAUGUGGCUCCCCUCGGGGAGUGUUAUAGCCCGGCGUGCAAUGCGGCC
Molecule: ribosomal RNA, 488 nt
Filed under: Scolecobasidium humicola
Lineage: Eukaryota; Fungi; Ascomycota; Dothideomycetes; Venturiales; Sympoventuriaceae
Description: eukaryotic LSU rRNA
Rfam family: Eukaryotic large subunit ribosomal RNA
Source: RNAcentral